AAGGCUUUUCAGUUCACAGCUUAGUCAUAUUCCAAAACCCUAAACUCAAAUUCGUAUCUUCCUCUCUUCUAAAGUGCGUGCCUUCCUCAUUCUCACUCUCCGUCUCUCUCUUCGAGCACAUUCAGAGAGAAGAAAACCUCAAAUUUCAAUCUCCAUCAUCAUCGAUAUCAUGGCCCAUUUCGUGGCCCCAAUCGCAUGUCCAUUAUCACUCUCAAUUAAGUAUUCCCCCUACCUUCUAAAGAUUUUUGCAGAUUUCAUGUUCAAUUUUUGUUUUUACUUCCAUGGAUAUUUUGAAGGGGGAAUAAUUUACUGGAAAACCCGAUGAUAUAUUCAUAAAUUUGCUGGCUAAUUUAGCUUGUGGAGGAUAUCCUGCUACUUUCUUCUACUUCUACAUGAAACCUAUUGAACAGGAAAAAAUCUUAAUUAUCUUCCUGCGGAUGGGUGCUAGAAAUGUGAGAAGAUCUUAAAGUGUUCUAUUUCUUACGUGUCAAAACUUGCAUCUAUAGGUAAAAAUCUUCUCUAACCUUCUUCUUUUUAUUGACCAAACAAUGGUAUGCAUAUGCUGUGGCCUCUACUUUUCAUAGAGUGCGGCAUAUGCUCUGCAAGGACUUUAUGUUGUGGGUUCUAUAUCCGAACUGUUAUGGAUAAUGCAUAAUCUCGUUUUCAUUGUUCAAUGAAAGCGUAUGUAAAGCCAAUGUUUAAUAAUUUGCCAUGUCAAAUUUUAGCCCUCAUCGGACAUUGAAACUAGAAAGAAGUUUAUCCUUAUGGGAGUGACUACAACAUGAAGGUAAACUUGUGUUUCUAUUUGCGUACAGCAUUAUAAUUGAGAAGUUCAUAUUAUGCUAUUAUUGUGAACACCGCCUUUCCAUUUUCAUUUUGUAAAUUAUUGAGAACAGCUUACCUCCACUUUACCCUAUAACCUAUACUAGUUUUGUAGAGAACUUAUGAAGCUGUUGAUGUUCAGGAUGAACUAAAAUAUGGAAAAUUUGGAGAUUGGCGAUUCAAUAAGAGAUCAAGCAAAUAUUCCCUCCCCUCUAACAAUUAUGAACAUUUAUCUAUUCAUAAUAGGAGGCUUGGCAAGAAGUACAGUGGCAUGAGGCUUAAUCAAAGAAUGAAAAGUCUCUACUUUUUUAAUAGAAAAUUCAUUUAGAUAUAUAUUAUUCAAUAUAUAUGUCAUUUUUCCUUCUUUAAAAGAUAUAAUGUACUUGUGAUAAUUUUCCCACUAAAGAAGUUAGUGUUGCAUAUUGUUAUGUUAGAAAUACUGAUACUUUUCUAUUCUUUCUUACUUUGAGUUUGUCGUGAACUGUACACCCUUAUAAUCCACUAAAGACUAUUGAUUAGACCUGGAGUCUUAGGUAAAUAGUGUAUUUCACCAUCAUAUAUGUAUUAUCAUAUUUUACAUCGUACUGCAUUAGAGUUUUUUUUUCAACAAUUGCAAGUUAUGAUAUCAUUUAAGGUUGAAUUAUUUGGAUCUUUGUCCAUUUAUUUAAAGGGCACUAAUAUCCAGUCAAAUUAAUGCAUUGUCAUGUACAUUGAUGUCAAAUUUUGUGAUCUACAACAUUUAUUGCUUAUAGGUUCUUAAGUUUUAUGCUCCAACUUUAUUUGGUUGUAGGUAUCCACCUUUCUUGGAUUUACAUCCAUCUGAAAUGAUAUCUGUUCUUGAUUUUUAUGCUGUCCA
RNAcentral lists this long non-coding RNA (1678 nucleotides) under Olea europaea subsp. europaea. The record is from RNAcentral. Lineage: Eukaryota; Viridiplantae; Streptophyta; Magnoliopsida; Lamiales; Oleaceae.